Small nuclear RNA from Lynx canadensis (Canada lynx), 111 nucleotides. The record is from Ensembl. Lineage: Eukaryota; Metazoa; Chordata; Mammalia; Carnivora; Felidae.
GGGGAUGCUGGCGUGGGCACCCUACAUGCUAAAAUUGGAACAAUACUGAGAUGAUGACCAUGGCCUCUGUGCCAGGAUGACACACACAUUUGUGAAGCGUUCCAUAUUUAG